ACCUACGGGAGGCAGCAGUGGGGAAUAUUGCACAAUGGGCGAAAGCCUGAUGCAGCAACGCCGCGUGAGCGAAGAAGGUCUUCGGAUUGUAAAGCUCUGUCCUAGGGGAAGAAGAAAAUGACGGUACCCUUGGAGGAAGCCCCGGCUAACUACGUGCCAGCAGCCGCGGUAAUACGUAGGGAGCAAGCGUUAUCCGGAUUUAUUGGGUGUAAAGGGUGCGUAGACGGGAAAACAAGUUAGUUGUGAAAUCCCUCAGCUUAACUGAGGAACUGCAACUAAAACUAUUUUUCUUGAGUGCUGGAGAG
This 305-nucleotide ribosomal RNA is filed under the name uncultured bacterium. RNAcentral describes it as "bacterial SSU rRNA". It matches the Rfam family "Bacterial small subunit ribosomal RNA", at positions 337 to 656 of the family's 1533-position model. The record is from RNAcentral.